Molecule: ribosomal RNA, 253 nt
Filed under: uncultured bacterium
Lineage: Bacteria
Description: partial 16S ribosomal RNA
Rfam family: Bacterial small subunit ribosomal RNA
Source: RNAcentral
UACAGAGGUGGCAAGCGUUGUUCGGAAUUACUGGGCGUAAAGGGCGCGUAGGCGGCCAUCUAAGUCAGACGUGAAAUCCCCCGGCUUAACCUGGGAACUGCGUCUGAUACUGGAAGGCUUGAGUAUGGGAGAGGGAUGUAGAAUUCCAGGUGUAGCGGUGAAAUGCGUAGAUAUCUGGAGGAAUACCGGUGGCGAAGGCGGCAUCCUGGACCGACAUUGACGCUGAGGAGCGAAAGCUAGGGGAGCAAACGGG